This is a long non-coding RNA of Thalassophryne amazonica, 174 nucleotides long. RefSeq lists it as uncharacterized. The record is from RefSeq and is a predicted model, not a curated record. The transcript has 3 exons. NCBI's taxonomy places the organism in Eukaryota, Metazoa, Chordata, Actinopteri, Batrachoidiformes, Batrachoididae.
GGAUGAAUAUGUUAUCAUGAGGGAGAGAAAAACUCAUCUUGCAACCAUUGUAUUUAGCAUCCAAGCUACCUCCAUUGUGCAGCAUACCACAUGCAUACUGGCUGUAAAUAUUGCUCAUGGUCGCCUUGGGGUAACGCUCACCCUGUACCAUGGCUUCAGCUUCUUGGCUUUAUC